Molecule: non-coding RNA, 6899 nt
Organism: Pelobates cultripes (western spadefoot toad)
Lineage: Eukaryota; Metazoa; Chordata; Amphibia; Anura; Pelobatidae
Source: the annotation of a GenBank genome assembly
GUACCAUGCCACAUCCUAACGUUCUGUCUACAAAACUCUGGACAAAGCAAAAUUUUACAAUUUUAUUGACCAUACCAAGUAAUUUUAUACUCUUAUCCUAAUGAUAUAGUAAAAUGUCAAAAUUGCUCAUUUUCAUUUGGCAUCAUUUUCUUGAUUAUUAUUAUUUUUAAUAUAAUUUGUUUAAAUUCCAUCUUCUCCAAUGCAGUGUAACUUGCCACUGUAUUUAACAUGUCUUACACAUAAUCUGUUGAUCGAGGGGAUCUAGAUUAGAUACAACACCAAACAACCAAAGCUUGGAGAUUAAAAAAAUUUAAAAAAUUAAAAAGCAACAUAGGGAGGUACAACAUUAACACAUUAUUGACUGGAUUUAGUGUAUUUACUAACAAUACCAAGUAAAAAUUGUAGAAACCAGCUGCUGGAAGAACAUUCAAGCUGUCAAAAAGGAUCAAAUGAUUUAUGCUGAAGCUAUUUAUAUUUUUAUAAUUUAAUUUAAAGCUAACAUUUCUGAUUAGCAAAUAAAUGCUGUUGGCAUGCGGAACACAAUACUUGAAAGCAUUUGGGGUUUCUCACAAAUCAAUGACUUACAUUCCUUAUUUACAAUUCUUAUUCUUAUAUACAACAUUAUUGGUGGCUGUACAUUUGGUCGUAAUAUUAUCAAUAUAUGAAUUAAGACCAGCCUAGCAGAAAGCUAGUGCUAUUCACAUGGAAGUGGGGCAUCUUGCGGACCGAAAACCCACGUGGAUUGUAUACGCAAAUAUUAUUUUCAUGAUACAAAGGAUUUUGGAAUCUAAUCCACGGAAGCGUGUAUUUGGUUUUUAAAUGAAAUAUCAUUAUCACAGGAAAAUGUAUACUUCAUGUCUAAAUGUUGAAUAGACAAACACCUUAUAGCAAUGGCAUGGAGGGAUACCGUGAUAAUCAAAAUAAAUGCUCACGCUUCUAUUGACAGUCGGCCCCUAAAUGAAAAGGUAGAAAAAAUAUCUCCAAGUUCGUACUGCAGAAAAUUACUACAUUUUGUGUUAUAAAUACUGCUUCUUUUGGGGUCAUUGCUACCGACGUUUGCUUUCACUAUUCGCAAAUUCAGGUAAUAUUUGUCUUUUACAUAUGAUCAGACUGUGAAUGAAGUCUGUGAAACCCAUGUUGUAACUAUAUAGACACCUUGCAUUUUUAUGGGAGGGGGUUAUGGUUACCAGAUCCACAUAUAUAUAAAAACAUGCUUGACUGCAGUAUUCAAAUGCAGAAGAGGGAAAUGGUAUUGAUUAAAGGGACUCUAUGGGCACCCUUAUCUAAAUUUAAACCAUGCAUCUGAACACAUCGCCGUUCUGCAGGAAUUUCAAUGUUUUGAUUGCAGGGUUAAUCUGCUGUUAGCCACUAGAGGCAGUUCUGCGAAAUAUUUCAAUCAUAGAGACCACCUGAUUGGCACACCAUAGUGUUUUUAUGUGCAUGCGCACUAAGCCCAGAAUGCUUUCCUAUAGGGAAGCAUUUGAUUGGCUGAGAUCAUUGUUCUUGAUGAUUUCAGCCAAAGAGGCAAAUCGUCACACAUAAGAAUAGCAAUGUGAUGGAGAAAAGUUAAAUUAACUCAUAUUUUUAACCCUGUCAGCGGGGUACAGUCACCGAAACGGUGACUAGGACACCAUAUCGUAAGGAAUACACAUUUUUAUUCCUAUUGCUAGGUUUCCAUUAAUCAAGACUGAUCCAUGAGAUUCCUUUUUGAUGAAUACAUUGACUGGUAACAAAUAACUUCUACAAGGUUAGCCCUUCUAGAGUCACCACCUAAAAUCACGAAGAACUAAUAUGGUAAGAAGUGAGACAAGGGACAAUCGGGGACGGCUUUUAUUGAGUAACGGGCAGUUCUAAUCAAAAAGGUUUUGUGUAUUUGUGCAUUUUCAAACAGAAGUAUUCUCUUUCAUUCUAUGUUUAAAUAAUUAAAAGACAGGUUUAUUUAAUAACCAAUGAGUACAUCUGGAAAAAACAUCAUUAAUGAAAUAGCGUUAUGAAAUAGCGUUAUGAAAUAGCGUUAUCUAACGGUUUAUUAACAAACUGCCUUGAAAAGAAACAAACACAUGUACUUAGUGAAAUAAACCUUUUUUGAUGGGGAAUUCCCAGGAUUUGUAAUAUUAUGUUUACUCAUCUUUAUCUGUUAAAUAAAAUUUAAUGCAGAAAUCCACAGCACUAUAUUUAGCUUUAUCCUGCGACUGGACUCCUCCAUCUUAACUCCCUGUCAAUAAUUUUUAGAAACUCCGCCCUUUGCAUCUGGUAGUCAGCAUAGAGAAAGGAGGAAAAUAGACACAAUGUUUCUCCUCUAAUGCAUUGUAUGCCCUGGCUGUGCCAGGACUAGACUCGAUUUUGCUGUCAUUUGUUAAAUAUCUAAUGUAAUGUAUAUUCAAAAGAAAAUAGCGCAUCACACGAAAUAAAGUUUAACAAAAGUUAUCAGUAAAACUUUUAAAUGUUUUAUUCAAUUGUGUAGUUUCCAGAAAAAAUAUGUUUCACCUUUAAUGUGAGUUUUGUAUAUAUAUAUAUAUAUUUUUUUUACGAAAACAACUUAAGCUUUAAGCUUAGAAAAAUGUUUUUCGUCUGCAGAAAAGUUAAAGGGAACAGGAAAAAAAACUAACUAUGUUUUGGUUUCACAAACUGCUGUGGAGUGUAUUCUCUGAACCAGAAUUGACAAGGAAGUGGCACAUUUUACACCCCAAAUUUCGAAUUUGAGAAAAAAAAAAUUACAAUUUCUAUUUUAACAGUUCAUAUGUUAGUGUGAAUGUUGCAAUUCCCUUUACAAUUUUCCAAAUGUUCUGUUUUAGUGAUUAACCCUGACUGUAAGAGUAUGCACAGCAUUUGUAAGUAUGGUACCAAUGAUUUGUAUAUAAAUACAGAGGUCUUAUUCUGGUCUAUGAGGGGACUGAUUUUAUCCUACAAGCUUCUGUUUACGAGGUAUAUAGUUCACCCUUCACAACAGUUAAAAAAAAAAAAAAAAGAAAUCACAUUGAGAAAAUCAUGGAGAAUUGGACUGCAUUUAUAAAGUGGAGAAAAUUGGCACAAGGCAACCCUAAAAUGUUCCUGCUGGAUGUUUGACAUUUUCUGGAAUAUAGCCGAAUGAUCUUUUACAAAUUGUUGUUGCUAUAAGCUACUCUCAGAAAUGAGAAUGGGCUCAAUGCUCUCUAAACACCAAUACUGCAAUGUGCUCACAGUGCUUAGACUGUCAUCUAAUUAGAUACACAUGCAACAUACCCUGGGUAAGAACUUUUCAUGCUCUGUUCAUCAGACUGAAGAAGUAAUAUAUGUCUAAGAAAUCAUAAAUCUGGCAGCGUUUGAGGUUGACUUGCAUGGAUAACAGCCUUCAUCACUCCAGUUGGUCUACAACACUCAUCAUUCUCAGGCAGCAAAACUCUGGGAAUUGUAUUCACCUCACACACUUACUAAAGUCAAUAUGUUUGACUUGUGUAUAAAGGGUGGUUUAGCAAUUCCAUUCCUAGAUAUAACGUGAGCCAAUCUGACCUGUUACCGCAAUCUCGCAUUAAACUGUUUUAACGUAGGUUUAUUUUGUCUUGAUUGGCCGUGCUGGCCAGCUGUCUCUGUUAGCAUGUCAGGAUGUUUAAUUAAGAUUAACGCUUGAAGUAAAACCAAGCUGGAACCAUAUUGGCUGUUUAAAUUUAUUAGAGUUCACAAUUACUCAGUUUGUGGUGAAAAAUCUCUCUUGACGGCAGAAAAUUUAGUCAAUUUGCAGCAGAGAUAGACUUCUGUUCUGGUGUAAUUUUUGCUUCAGUUCCAAAUUUAGCAGCUCACGGGUCAUGUAAACACGCAAUCAACUUAAAAGACAUUGCAUUAUGUAUACUCUCUAUCCAAUCAGGCCUAGAUUUGCCAAUGUAAUGGCAAAACAAAAGAAAUACGUUUAUCAACAUGUGUCAAGCAACAAACAAAAUAAGCUUUCUGAAUUCUUCGGUAUCUAAGCAGGCAAGCUUUUUUUUUAGGACCGGAUUUCAAAUUUGUCACUUUAUCAGUGUUACAGUAACACAGUUUACACAAGGCUCGUAUUACAUUUUAUUCUGUGUUUUUCAACAUACACUUAAAGGGCCAAGAUUAAAAAGAUACUGACACCACAUAUAGCCAAAUGAACAGUAAAACAGUGUUAAUGUGACAUUCUUAUCACACACAUGCCAAUGAAUGUAUUUGUAAAUUCUUGGCGUAACUAAGUAUAAAAAAGAAAAAUCUUAUCUUGCCAGCCCUCACAAAGAUAUACUAAUCUCUCUCUUUCUCUCUUUACUAUGGUAAGAUGAGACAUGAGGGCAUUAUAGCACACUCUUUUACAAACUGAAAAUUUGUAACAGUGACACACCAUAGUAGCGUGCUUUUUUAACACUUUUUUUGGAGGCUUUAUAUGAAAAAUAUAUGCUAAAAUUAUAGAUGUACUACAAUACUGCAUAUCUCCAUUUUUUUUAGCUUGUGCAGUGAGCUUUUGUCUAGACCAGGAAGUGGUUCAUGACACUGCAUUAUGGGAACAGCAGGGGCAGAUUGAAGUUGUAGUUAAAUUGUAGGCCUUCUACCUGUCCCAAUUUAGGAAGUACCGCUUGGGGCUUUCCAGAAGACUGUCAACUGGCAUGACACACCCUGUUUCCAGGAAGGCUGUACUUUUUUCCAGGCGGACCAGCUCAUUUUGGGCAUGUGCAUUGCCAAUGACACUUUUAGUAUUGUGGCACGCCCCCAAAACCCAUCCUGAAUCGACCCCUGUUCUUAAAAUUGGGAAGUAUAAAAGUGUCAGGUUAUAUUUGUGCAAAGCUACAACUAAACUAUAGCUCCCACAAGUAAUGAUAUCAUGUAUAGCGAUAUUUUUGGAGUAGAAAAUGAUACACUAAAGGUUUGGAGAGAAGAGCAGAAAGAGCAGGCUUAUAGAGUAAAUCAGAUACAUUUUUUAAUAAAAAAAGUACCUUUUUAACUGAGGCAGGUCUUGGAUUGAGUGAAAAUCUUUGCAGGGUAUUUUUCUUCCAGUGGCUAACACUUGUUCUUCACUUAAUAGCACAAAGUAAAACCAAUGCAGUAAUAUUUAUAUAUAAUAAUAUUUCAUACGUAAUAUAAUAAAUCUUAGAAAGCCUAAAAAUUUGAUUACGCACAGCACUGCACUGUUGAUAGAGCUUCUAGCUUACAAAAUGUUCUUAUUAAUAAAAGCGUUGUUCAAAACUUCAAUAUUGCUAAGCACCUCUUUGUGUUUUGAGAACAAGCUUUACUUUUACUGAAAAGUUGUAAAAAUGUUAGAAGUCAGUUGGUUUCCAAGUGUGGGGUCAAGAACAACAGACUGGAAAAUUCAAAGGCCAAAUGCUGUUUGAUGUACGUAAGAGAAUGUCCGCUUUACGGGACAAAAUGGAUUAUCUAUUAGUUGAUGUUAAUCUGUCUAAAUUGAAAAUGGUCAAGACUCACAAGUGCCACGGCUUAAUAUUUCAGAUUCCACCUGGAAUUGUUUGGAUACGUGUUAGCCAGUGGCUUAAUAAGCCUUUUGUAAUAUUUUGUGUAUUUACAUAGUAAUUUACUAUAUAUUUAUGUGGAUAACUAUUUAUGUUCUGAUAUGUAACAUGUUAAUUUGUAUUUGAUGAACUUUGCAUGAAAUAUAAUAAACAUGUCACUUAUUUUUAAACACACACUACAACACAUUAAAAAGUACAAAACACGAAACGUCUUUGUUUUUCCAUUAUAUUACCCUUUAAGGAGUCAUAGGAUUCACAGUCUAUGAAAAAGUAAUACUUGAAUAUGUUAAGCAAACUGCUCACAGACUAAAUCAGGGAUACCCAAACUAUAGCUCUUCAAACUCCUGGGAUUAUUAGCCAGUUAUAGGCUCAACAACAGAACAAGGAACAGGUUGGCUUCCAAAACCUCAACUGGAGUAUUCAGCAGUUAUACACACUGAUCAAACUGCUGGUUAUUCAAUGCUGCCCAAUGAUUCACUCAAUCUAAAGGGCUCAGUAACAAAUGUUACCCAAGAAAGUGGAUAAACAAAAACUCUAAUUACUUAAAAACAAAAUUACAAAAUAGCUGAGUUUGGGGGACAAAAUCACAAAAAAAAAUUCUCUUUAACCUUUUUUAACCUAUUUUUUGAUAUUCCGUUGUUUAGGUUACCUGAAUUCACUAUGUAGUCAAUAAGCUCCUUUGUAUUAUAUUGGCUACUCCUAUUAAAAAUAAUGACGUCCCAGUUUCCGAUGACAUACUCCAAAUACUUAUAUACAAUUUUGUUAAAUACAAAAGGUGUUUUGCUACAUUCUGAUGAGGUGGCCGUAGUACAUACAGCUAUAGAUAGAGGCACUGCCUGUUGGAACACACAUCAUUUUUUUUAAAAAAAUUCAUUUUUUUUUAAAGCAAAGCUGCUCAAUUUUAGAGUAAACUGAAUUUAGAAACACUCCCUUGCACCAAUAAAGUAUAUCUUGAUGGAGCUGUUCAAAUGACUUAUCUAACCACUUUCUUGAAGCGGACCGGCACUGAAAGAAUUUAAGAAUUCAUCUGUACAGUAACCAUGUUUUACAGUUUAUAUGCAGAUACUUGUGUUUCUAUGUAAACUAGAAGAUUUUGGCUUUAUAAAGGUAACUGAUUUAACUCACCGAAAGUACUUAGAGGGAACACUGGUUAAACUGUUUAAUACAACCUGGAGUUCCAUGGUCUUUUCAUAUAUCUUUUGAACAGACUCCAAAACUGACAUGUCAUAGAGCUAACUCAUAAUUUAACCAGAACGUGUUGCAUUUUGCCUUUCAAUGCUGGAGGUGUCAUAGAGACAAACAACUCAUAGCGUUCUUUACUCUCCUGGGGCUGAUAGGGUUAAAUUAGCACAUUUUGAAUGCUGUCUGCAAGAGCAUUGUAUCAAAUUUCCCUCAUAUAAAUCCUAAAUCAACCUGCAAAGUAAAGCCAUGGAUUAGAAUAAAAUAAAGAGC